CCUACGGGAGGCAGCAGUGGGGAAUAUUGGACAAUGGGGGCAACCCUGAUCCAGCCAUGCCGCGUGUGUGAAGAAGGCCCUCGGGUUGUAAAGCACUUUCAGUGAGGAAGAACGCCUGGUGGUUAAUACCCAUCAGGAAAGACAUCACUCACAGAAGAAGCACCGGCUAACUCCGUGCCAGCAGCCGCGGUAAUACGGAGGGUGCGAGCGUUAAUCGGAAUUACUGGGCGUAAAGCGCGCGUAGGUGGCUUGAUAAGCCGGUUGUGAAAGCCCCGGGCUCAACCUGGGAACGGCAUCCGGAACUGUCAAGCUAGAGUGCAGGAGAGGAAGGUAGAAUUCCCGGUGUAGCGGUGAAAUGCGUAGAGAACGGGAGGAAUACCAGUGGCGAAGGCGGCCUUCUGGACUGACACUGACACUGAGGUGCGAAAGCGUGGGUAGCAAACAGGAUUAGAUACCCCGGUAGUC
RNAcentral lists this ribosomal RNA (465 nucleotides) under Vreelandella stevensii. RNAcentral's name for it is "partial 16S ribosomal RNA". It matches the Rfam family "Bacterial small subunit ribosomal RNA", at positions 338 to 795 of the family's 1533-position model. Lineage: Bacteria; Pseudomonadati; Pseudomonadota; Gammaproteobacteria; Oceanospirillales; Halomonadaceae. The record is from RNAcentral.